AAGGGAACACCCAAAAGAGGAAGAAACGACCUGCGGCCAACUUGUACCACUACCUGUUCCAGCAGGUAAGACACUGCAAACAUUCCUAGGAUUCCAUGGAAGCAAGAUGCAAAUAGAAGGAAAGACUGCUCAUGGCCUCAUUUCAAUCCUCAAAACAUACUUGGCUGUUUCAGUAGAGGACUCCAUCAUUACUGGGCGCAAGUAGAAGGUACCAUCAUUUCACCUAGAAGGCACCUGCCACAGAUUCACACUGAUCAAACGGGAGGGAAACAGUCUCCUCUGAAGACAAAGACUUGGCUGCGCGUUCUGGCCCACUCCAGACAGAUGCAAACACCUGCCUGUUUCUUCCCUGCAGUCCGUAUUGCAUCAUGAACUUCUAGUGCC
This 384-nucleotide long non-coding RNA is filed under the name Mus caroli (Ryukyu mouse). RNAcentral describes it as "predicted gene 13748 (MGP_CAROLIEiJ_G0002348.1)". The record is from RNAcentral. Lineage: Eukaryota; Metazoa; Chordata; Mammalia; Rodentia; Muridae.